RNAcentral lists this ribosomal RNA (207 nucleotides) under uncultured Syntrophorhabdus sp. Its description in RNAcentral is "partial 16S ribosomal RNA". It matches the Rfam family "Bacterial small subunit ribosomal RNA", at positions 568 to 774 of the family's 1533-position model. The record is from RNAcentral. Lineage: Bacteria; Pseudomonadati; Thermodesulfobacteriota; Syntrophorhabdia; Syntrophorhabdales; Syntrophorhabdaceae.
CGCGUAGGUGGUUGUGAUAGUCAGAUGUGAAAUCCUUUGGCUUAACUGAAGAACUGCAUCUGAAACUUCACAACUCGAGUACAGGAGAGGGAAACGGAAUUCCCGGUGUAGAGGUGAAAUUCGUAGAUAUCGGGAGGAACACCAGUGGCGAAGGCGGUUUCCUGGCCUGAUACUGACACUGAGGCGCGAAAGCGCGGGGAGCAAACA